GAAUUGAAUUUAGCGGCCGCGAAUUCGCCCUUAGAGUUUGAUCAUGGCUCAGAACGAACGCUGGCGGCGUGCCUAACACAUGCAAGUCGAGCGAGAAAGUCCCUUCGGGGAUGAGUACAGCGGCGGACGGUUGAGUAACACGUGAGAAUCAACCCUACAGUGAGGAAUACCCUCGAGAAAUCGAGGUUAAUACUGCAUACGUCCCUUCGGGGAGAAAGAUGGCCUCUUUGCUGUCGCUGUAGGACGAGCUUGCGGGCUAUCAGCUAGUUGGUGAGGUAAUGGCUCACCAAGGCUAUGACGGCUAGCCGGCCUGAGAGGGUGUACGGCCAGACUGGAACUUAGAUACGGUCCAGACUCCUACGGGAGGCAGCAGUGGGGAAUAUUGCGCAAUGGGCGAAAGCCUGACGCAGCGACGCCGCGUGGAGGAUGAAGGUCUUAGGAUUGUAAACUUCUGUUAAGUGGGAAAAAAGCUCUAUUUCUAAUACAGAUAGAGGAUGAUUGUACCAUUAGAGAAAGCACCGGCUAACUUCGUGCCAGCAGCCGCGGUAAUACGAAGGGUGCAAGCGUUAUUCGGAUUCAUUGGGCGUAAAGGGUGUGUAGGCGGUACAUUAAGUCUGUUGUUAAAUGCUUCGGCCUAACCGGAGACCUGCGAUGGAAACUGAUGUGCUAGAGGGUGGAAGAGAGAAGUGGAAUUCUCGGAGUAGCGGUAAAAUGCGUAGAUCUCGAGAGGAACACCAAUGGCGAAGGCAGCUUCUUGGUCCACAUCUGACGCUGAAACACGAAAGCGUGGGGAGCAAACAGGAUUAGAUACCCUGGUAGUCCACGCUGUAAACGAUGAUCACUGGACGUCAGUUUUGUUUUACAGAAUUGGUGUCGUAGCUAACG
RNAcentral lists this ribosomal RNA (885 nucleotides) under uncultured delta proteobacterium. RNAcentral's name for it is "partial 16S ribosomal RNA". It matches the Rfam family "Bacterial small subunit ribosomal RNA", at positions 1 to 857 of the family's 1533-position model. Lineage: Bacteria; Deltaproteobacteria. The record is from RNAcentral.